CCCGUCUCCCUCGUGGGCUCGCAGGUGCCUUCUUCCCACAGAGCGCAGUCCGCGUGCCCAGAAGGAACCUGGAAGCCGUCAGCUCCUUCAAAGGCGCUGGAGCCUCCGCCGCCGGACGAGGGAGGCGCCGCCUCGCAGAUGGAGAUGAACCCUCCUCCCCUCCCCCGCUCCCGCCCCCCGACAGACCGGAAUCCAGGCCCAACACUGGCGCUGGCUCUGUGGAGGCCGGGCUGCCCCACCCCAUCCCACACUGAGGCCUGAGCCCGGGGCCUUUGCAGUAGGCGACAUCCUCAGCCCUUUUAAUUUUUAAAAUUUUGAGACAGGUUCUGGCUACAUCUCUAAACUGUCCAGUCUGGGCUUGAACUUGGGAUUCUCCUGCCUCAGCCUCCCAGAGUGCAAGGAUCACAGGCGGCGCCUUCACGCCUGACCAAGUCGUGGGUCCUAUCUGCUUUGUUCCAUUUGGAAAGUCGUCUCCCUCGUCAGACCUGGUGAAGUUUCUUUAUCUUCCCCACAUGCUGGGGCCCCUGGCCUCCUCCAUCAGGUUGGGGAACCCUUUUGUCUUCGUCAUCAGACCAGAGGGGAAGACGCCUCUCCCCUCUCGCAAAGCUUUCUGGGUGAAUAUUAGUUCUCAUUUCCUGUUCUCAUCGGCCGGUGGAGUCCACCAGCUCUGCCUCCACGGACCCCAGACUGAAAUGUUCAAGAAGAAAAUGCUUCUGGUCCAGAAGGCGCGUGGACCUUUUGCUCCUUCGCCGCUGUUCCCCACCGUACAGGACGCCGAGGGUUCACAGUGUUUGUUCCGCAAACACUAAGGCACCACACUGGGCAGGAAGACGCAUGGGUACAUGCAGAGGCUGUGGCUUUAUGUAGGGGACUCCAAAUCCAAGGGCCCUGGUAUCUGUGGGUGCCUCCCAAAGUGGAUCCCCCAGACUCCAAGGGACACCUAGACAGGCUGGGACCCCAAGGCCCUGAAAGACCUGCUCCGCUCCCCCAUCUCCCCUCCCUCAUUCAGCUCAGGACCAGUACAACCUACCCCCGAGCCCUUGCACCUGCUGUUCCCACUGCCUAGAACUCUCCCCAGAUCACUGUCUGGUUGGCCUUGAACACAGGAUCCUCCUGCCUCAGCUUCCAUUGCUUGGGAUUAUAGGUGUGCACUACCAACAC
This 1161-nucleotide long non-coding RNA is filed under the name Fukomys damarensis (Damara mole-rat). Its description in RNAcentral is "lncRNA (ENSFDAG00000030860.1)". The record is from RNAcentral. Lineage: Eukaryota; Metazoa; Chordata; Mammalia; Rodentia; Bathyergidae.